RNAcentral lists this ribosomal RNA (492 nucleotides) under uncultured bacterium. Its description in RNAcentral is "partial 16S ribosomal RNA". It matches the Rfam family "Bacterial small subunit ribosomal RNA", at positions 29 to 507 of the family's 1533-position model. The record is from RNAcentral.
AGUGAACGCUGGCGGUAGGCCUAACACAUGCAAGUCGAACGGCAGCACAGUAAGAGCUUGCUCUUACGGGUGGCGAGUGGCGGACGGGUGAGGAAUACAUCGGAAUCUACUUUUUCGUGGGGGAUAACGUAGGGAAACUUACGCUAAUACCGCAUACGACCUACGGGUGAAAGCAGGGGAUCUUCGGACCUCGCGCGAUUGAAUGAGCCGAUGUCGGAUUAGCUAGUUGGCGGGGUAAAGGCCCACCAAGGCGACGAUCCGUAGCUGGUCUGAGAGGAUGAUCAGCCACACUGGAACUGAGACACGGUCCAGACUCCUACGGGAGGCAGCAGUGGGGAAUAUUGGACAAUGGGCGCAAGCCUGAUCCAGCCAUACCGCGUGGGUGAAGAGGGCCUUCGGGUUGUAAAGCCCUUUUGUUGGGAAAGAAAAGCAGCAGGUUAAUACCCCGCUGUUCUGACGGUACCCAAAGAAUAAGCACCGGCUAACUUCGUG